UCGAAACCCGCCAUGACAGACCGCGCACACGUUAAUGCCUCGUGGGGCGCCCAACGGGCAGGCCCAGCGCCUCCCGUCGGCGCCCUGCCCCUGCCGUGCCCUCGCGCGAGCGAGCACGCCCGGCGGGUCCAACAAACCCACGGCGCGGAAGGCGCCAAGGAUCACAACGUCGGAGCGUCGCCCCCCCAUCAUGGCCCCGUCCGCGGCAAGCCAUGCGGGGGAUGUGCGUCUCCCAAGAUUGAAUGACAUGUAAAAC
RNAcentral lists this unclassified non-coding RNA (256 nucleotides) under Pinguicula vulgaris. Its description in RNAcentral is "ITS1". RNAcentral also lists the same sequence under 2 other names. Lineage: Eukaryota; Viridiplantae; Streptophyta; Magnoliopsida; Lamiales; Lentibulariaceae. The record is from RNAcentral.